This 327-nucleotide unclassified non-coding RNA is filed under the name soil metagenome. RNAcentral describes it as "partial contains 5.8S ribosomal RNA, internal transcribed spacer 2, and large subunit ribosomal RNA". The stretch from base 1 to 120 matches the Rfam family "5.8S ribosomal RNA", at positions 35 to 154 of the family's 154-position model. The record is from RNAcentral.
GAUGAAGAACGCAGCGAAAUGCGAUAAGUAAUGUGAAUUGCAGAGUUUUGUGAAUCAUCGAAUCUUUGAACGCACAUUGCGCCCACUAGUAUUCUGGUGGGCAUGCCUGUUCGAGCGUCAUUUCAACCCUCAAGCCUGGCUUGGUGUUGGGGCUCUGCGUCUGCAGUCCCUUAAAUCCAGUGGCGGACACGCUAGGUCUCCGAGCGCAGUAGUUUCUCCUCGCUCAGGGCGUCCGGCGUGGGCUUGCCUCGCACCCAUCUUUUACAAGGUUGACCUCGGAUCAGGUAGGAAUACCCGCUGAACUUAAGCAUAUCAAUAAGCGGAGGA